Molecule: RNA transcript, 1473 nt
Organism: Salvia hispanica
Lineage: Eukaryota; Viridiplantae; Streptophyta; Magnoliopsida; Lamiales; Lamiaceae
Gene name: ubiquinone biosynthesis O-methyltransferase, mitochondrial
Source: RefSeq, a predicted model, not a curated record
AUGAUAUCUAAACAUAUUGUAGCCCGAGCCCGAUUGCUAGCCCGGCCCGUUGGUCGUAGCUCAAAGCCCGCGAAUAAGCUCCAAAGCCGGCGGUAUUCAUCAGCUCCGGCUUCUACUCCUUCAACGGCGGCUAAUGUACCUUCAAAAAGCUCUUUGAAUGAAGAUGAGCUGAAGAAGUUCGCCGCCAUUGCCGAGACAUGGUGGGAAGCUGAAGGACCGUUCAAGCCGCUGCACGCGAUGAAUCCGACGAGGCUUGCGUUUAUUAGGUCUACGUUGUGUCGACAUUUUGGGAAGGAUCCAUGCUGUUCGAGGCCGUUUGAAGGAUUGAAAUUUGUGGAUAUUGGUUGUGGAGGAGGGAUUUUGUCUGAGCCUUUAGCACGGAUGGGCGCAAGUGUUACAGGAGUUGAUGCUGUGGAAAAGAAUAUCAAGAUUGCUCAGCUUCAUGCGGAUUUGGAUCCAACAACUUCCUCUAUUGACUAUCUUUGUACAACAGCUGAGAAAUUGGUGGAAGAGCAUAGGAAAUUUGAUGCUGUACUUGCGCUAGAGGUAAUCGAGCAUGUGGCAGAUCCUGCUGAUUUCUGCAAAUCGUUGUCGGCUUUGACUGAGAAUGGUGGAGCUACUCUGAUCUCAACGAUAAAUCGAUCAAUGAGAGCAUAUGCAACAACUAUCGUUGUGGCAGAAUAUCUCUUGCGUUGGCUACCAGCAGGGACGCAUGACUGGUCGAGCUUUCUCACUCCAGAAGAGCUAGUCCUAAUUCUUCAGCGAGCUUCAGUUUCUGUCCAAGAGAUGGCUGGAUUCGUCUACAACCCCCUGACAGGGCGAUGGUCUCUCUCUGACAAUAUCGGUGUAAAUUUCAUUGCAUACGGCACAAAGAACUUCGAAUAGAUCAGGUGAAAUAGUGCAGGAUUUGAGGAUACUGAAACUUCCAAUUACACAUGAUUAUCUUAUGAACUCCACUUAGACACCAAUGGGUGCAGUCCAAAUCCCUAUGGCCUCCAUGCCCAUAAACAGAUGGAUGUCCAUCAAUUCUCAACUGUGAUAAUCCUGUGAUCUUCUGUAAAUAGACAUCUUUGUCCAUUGCUCCCAGAACUUUCUCCAGCACCACCUCUGCUGGGUGAGGGCUUCCCGGACUUUUUACUGGUAACGUAUGCCCCGUGCACCUUUUCAUGACCAUAUAGGAAUGUUAUGCUACAUAUUCUACGCGAAACGCCCUGGAAGAAUACUUGAGUUUUGGUUGGAUCAAUGUUGGAAUCGAUCCAUUUGGCCCAUGUGUUGAGUGCUUUCUCAUACGCAACCAUGCGGUCUAGGUCUUUCACCGUCGUGUUUCCAUACACAACCCAAUCCCAGCUGUGACCAGGACAAACACAAACAUGUAAGAAAUUCGUACUAUUAAUUACUACUUCAUCCGUUCCAAGUUAACCGAUUUGUAUUUCUUUUUGGGACGUCCCAAGUUAAAUGAGUUAUUUCUGAUUC